CGAUAGAUCUCGGCUGCUGGAAUGCAUCGAGCUUUAAAGCUCCGGCGCCUGAGGAUGGGUCUGCGGCCUAUCAGGUAGUAGUGGGUGUAGCGUACCUACUAGCCUACGACGGGUACGGGUUGUGAGAGCAAGAGCCCGGAGAUGGAUUCUGAGACACGAAUCCAGGCCCUACGGGGUGCAGCAGGCGCGAAAACUCUACAAUGCUGGCAACGGCGAUAAGGGGACCUCGAGUGCCAGGUUACAAAUCUGGCUGUCGUGAUGCCUAAAAAGCAUUGCAUAGCAAGGGCCGGGCAAGACCGGUGCCAGCCGCCGCGGUAACACCGGCGGCUCGAGUGGUAACCGUUAUUAUUGGGUCUAAAGGGUCUGUAGCCGGCCGGAUAAGUCUCUUGGGAAAUCUGGCAGCUUAACUGUUGGGCUUUCAGGAGAUACUGUCUGGCUCGAGGCCGGGAGAGGUGAGAGGUACUUCAGGGGUAGGGGUGAAAUCUUGUAAUCCUUGAAGGACCACCAGUGGCGAAGGCGUCUCACCAGAACGGACCUGACGGCAAGGGACGAAAGCUAGGGGCACGAACCGGAUUAGAUACCCGGGUAGUCCUAGCCGUAAACGAUACUCGCUAGGUGUCGGCCACGGUGCGACCGUUGUCGGUGCCGUAGGGAAGCCGUGAAGCGAGCCACCUGGGAAGUACGGCCGCAAGGCUGAAACUUAAAGGAAUUGGCGGGGGAGCAC
RNAcentral lists this ribosomal RNA (724 nucleotides) under uncultured Methanotrichaceae archaeon. RNAcentral's name for it is "SSU rRNA". It matches the Rfam family "Archaeal small subunit ribosomal RNA", at positions 154 to 879 of the family's 1478-position model. The record is from RNAcentral. Lineage: Archaea; Methanobacteriati; Methanobacteriota; Methanomicrobia; Methanotrichales; Methanotrichaceae.